This is a long non-coding RNA of Osmerus eperlanus (European smelt), 1248 nucleotides long. RefSeq lists it as uncharacterized. Lineage: Eukaryota; Metazoa; Chordata; Actinopteri; Osmeriformes; Osmeridae. The record is from RefSeq and is a predicted model, not a curated record. The transcript is spliced from 2 exons.
GAAGGUGGAGCUGUAUAGUCAAGUGUCCAGGCCCUGGUAUCCCAACCCUGCCCUCAGGGCGUCUGACGUCAUCUACGAUAACCUGGGGGACCUCUGAUGCACUUUCUGUCUGCCUAACACACACACACCCCUUCACACACACAUACCCCUUCACACACACACAUACCCCUUCACACACACACACCCAUUCAAACAUACACACACCCCUUCACACACACACACACACCCCCCACCCCAAACGACAGCAUUUGUCCCUCCCACCAGCCACUUCAGCAGUCACAUGACCUAUUGGUCAAGACAUUGAUUGGACAGUCUCCUUUUGGAUAAUACUUCUUGAAAUCAGCUCUUGGACAGAACUUUUAAUAGUGAACUGAAUACAUGAUUUUGAUUAUAUAGUGGGUUGCCAUGGCAAACCAACACACAACCAGGCAUAUCUCAGGACUCAAUGGAAGACACUCCCCUGUUGCAUCUUGGGACUUGUAGUCCAAUGGCUGGCCUCCAGACCACCCUGUGCUUCAGUGGCUAACCUAGAGGACAUGGUUCAUGUGUGUGUUUGUAUCUGUGGGAGUCUUGCUUGUGAACUUGUGUGUGUGGAAUGCCUCGGUCAGCCACAGUGGUAGCCAGCUGACCUCAGUGUGGUUGGUCCAGCACUUGACCACACGCUCCUCCAUACAUGGCCUGGAGCUCUGGAACCUGACUGGAACUGGGGCUAGGACAUGGGGUUGGGACUGGGACAAGGACUGGAACUAAGACAUGGGGUUGGGACUGGAACUGGGGCUAGGACAUGGGGUUGGGACAUGGGGCGGGGCCUAGGACUAGGACUGGGCCUAUGUUCACCUUAAACUGAAGUCCAACACCAUCAACCCAACCAUUUUGCACUUGUGUUGUUUUGAAAGCCGUGAAAACCUUUUAAAUGUUCAGUUGGUCCUGAGCUGGAAACAUAGCAGGACUAGAUAUGUCUCCUCUCAUUAGUCUUCUUCUUGUUUUCUUUCUGUUAAUUACACUUCCUGUCUUCAUGGUUGAACUAGGAAGUGGAUGUUUUGCUGAGUCACCUUCCCUGCAGAGAGAAUGAACUGAAGUUCUGUAACUUAACAUAAGACUAAUCAACUGGCAUGUGUGUGUGUGGUUUGUGUGCGUUUGGUUUUUGUGUGUGUGUGUGCGUUUAAGACAGCUGCGCUGUAUGUACAUUUUAUAAGAAUUAUGUUAAUAAACAUUCGGCUGGUAAAAAAAAGCAACCACUAUCAUCUA